This 75-nucleotide transfer RNA is filed under the name Limnobacter parvus. Its description in RNAcentral is "tRNA-Arg". It matches the Rfam family "tRNA". From Rfam's summary of the family: Transfer RNA (tRNA) molecules are approximately 80 nucleotides in length. Their secondary structure includes four short double-helical elements and three loops (D, anti-codon, and T loops). Lineage: Bacteria; Pseudomonadati; Pseudomonadota; Betaproteobacteria; Burkholderiales; Burkholderiaceae. The record is from RNAcentral.
CUCCCGGUCGUAUAAUGGAUAAUACAGCCCCCUCCUAAGGGGCAAAUAUAGGUUCGAUUCCUGUCCGGGAGACCA